GGGGAAUAUUGGACAAUGGGCGCAAGCCUGAUCCAGCAAUGCCGCGUGUGUGAAGAAGGCCUUCGGGUUGUAAAGCACUUUUAUCAGGAGCGAAAUACUACCGGCCAAUACCCGGUGGGGCUGACGGUACCUGAGGAAUAAGCACCGGCUAACUUCGUGCCCGCAGCCGCGGUAAUACGUAGGGGGCAAGCGUUGUCCGGAUUUAUUGGGCGUAAAGCGCUCGCAGGUGGUCCGAUGCGUCGUGCGUGAAAGACCCCGGCUCAACUGGGGAGGGUCGUGCGAUACGGUCGGACUGGAGGCCAGUAGGGGGAUGCGGAAUUCCGGGUGUAGUGGUGGAAUGCGUAGAGAUCCGGAGGAACACCAGCGGCGAAGGCGGCAUCCUGGACUGGUCCUGACACUCAUGAGCGAAAGCGUGGGGAGCGAU
This 424-nucleotide ribosomal RNA is filed under the name uncultured bacterium. RNAcentral's name for it is "bacterial SSU rRNA". It matches the Rfam family "Bacterial small subunit ribosomal RNA", at positions 356 to 772 of the family's 1533-position model. The record is from RNAcentral.